CAGCAGCCGCGGGAAUACGGAGGGUGCAAGCGUUAAUCGGAAUUACUGGGCGUAAAGCGUGCGUAGGCGGUUCGUUAAGUCUGUUGUGAAAGCCCCGGGCUCAACCUGGGAAUGGCAAUGGAUACUGGCGAGCUAGAGUGUGUCAGAGGAUGGUGGAAUUCCCGGUGUAGCGGUGAAAUGCGUAGAGAUCGGGAGGAACAUCAGUGGCGAAGGCGGCCAUCUGGGACAACACUGACGCUGAGGCACGAAAGCGUGGGGAGCAAACAGGAUUAGAUACCCCCGUAGUCCCUGUCUCUUAUAA
Molecule: ribosomal RNA, 301 nt
Filed under: uncultured bacterium
Lineage: Bacteria
Description: partial 16S ribosomal RNA
Rfam family: Bacterial small subunit ribosomal RNA
Source: RNAcentral